Molecule: ribosomal RNA, 517 nt
Filed under: uncultured bacterium
Lineage: Bacteria
Description: bacterial SSU rRNA
Rfam family: Bacterial small subunit ribosomal RNA
Source: RNAcentral
GACGAACGCUGGCGGCGUGCUUAAUACAUGCAAGUCGAGCGAGGUUACUGUUUUGGAUCCCUUUGGGGUGAAGAAGCUUUAACCUAGCGGCGGACGGGUGAGUAACGCGUGGGUAACCUACCCCAAAGUCCGGGAUAACAGCGGGAAACCGCUGCUAAUACCGGAUGCCUUUACCUUGGGGCAUCUUGAGGUAAAGAAAGGUAACGCUUUGGGAUGGGCCCGCGUCCCAUUAGCUAGUUGGUGAGGUAACGGCUCACCAAGGCGACGAUGGGUAGCCGGCCUGAGAGGGUGGACGGCCACACUGGGACUGAGACACGGCCCAGACUCCUACGGGAGGCAGCAGUAGGGAAUAUUGCGCAAUGGACGGAAGUCUGACGCAGCGACGCCGCGUGAGCGAUGAAGGUCUUCGGAUCGUAAAGCUCUGUCCUUGGGGAAGAAGGCGAAAGCUUGACGGUACCCAAGAAGAAAGCCCCGGCUAACUACGUGCCAGCCGCCGCGGUAACUACCACAUAGUAGU